GAGGGAUGAAGGCCUCUGGGCUGUAAACCUCUUUCUCAAGGAAGAAGAUCUGACGGUACUUGAGGAAUAAGCCGCGGCUAAUUCCGUGCCAGCAGCCGCGGUAAUACGGGAGUGGCAAGCGUUAUCCGGAAUUAUUGGGCGUAAAGCGUCCGCAGGCGGCCUUUUAAGUCUGUCGUUAAAGCGUGGAGCUUAACUCCAUUUAAGCGAUGGAAACUGGAAGGCUAGAGUGUGGUAGGGGCAGAGGGAAUUCCCGGUGUAGCGGUGAAAUGCGUAGAUAUCGGGAAGAACACCAGUGGCGAAGGCGCUCUGCUGGGCCAUAACUGACGCUCAUGGACGAAAGCCAGGGGAGCGAAAGGGAUUAGAUACCCCUGUAGUCCUGGCCGUAAACGAUGAACACUAGGUGUCGGGGGAAUCGACCCCCUCGGUGUCGUAGCCAACGCGUUAAGUGUUCCGCCUGGGGAGUACGCACGCAAGUGUGAAACUCAAAGGAAUUGACGGGGGCCCGCACAAGCGGUGGAGUAUGUGGUUUAAUUCGAUGCAACGCGAAGAACCUUACCAGGGUUUGACAUCCUGCGAAUCCCUUGGAAACGAGGGAGUGCCUUCGGGAGCGCAGUGACAGGUGGUGCAUGGCUGUCGUCAGCUCGUGUCGUGAGAUGUUGGGUUAAGUCCCGCAACGAGCGCAACCCACGUCGUUAGUUGCCAGCAUUCAGUUGGGCACUCUAGCGAGACCGCCGGUGAUAAACCGGAGGAAGGUGUGGAUGACGUCAAGUCAUCAUGCCCCUUACAUCCUGGGCUACACACGUACUACAAUGCUACGGACAAAGGGCAGCAAACUCGCGAGAGCUAGCAAAUCCCAUAAACCGUGGCUCAGUUCAGAUCGUAGGCUGCAACUCGCCUACGUGAAGGAGGAAUCGCUAGUAAUCGCAGGUCAGCAUACUGCGGUGAAUACG
This 950-nucleotide ribosomal RNA is filed under the name uncultured cyanobacterium. Its description in RNAcentral is "bacterial SSU rRNA". It matches the Rfam family "Bacterial small subunit ribosomal RNA", at positions 403 to 1370 of the family's 1533-position model. Lineage: Bacteria; Bacillati; Cyanobacteriota. The record is from RNAcentral.